This 496-nucleotide ribosomal RNA is filed under the name uncultured bacterium. RNAcentral's name for it is "partial 16S ribosomal RNA". It matches the Rfam family "Bacterial small subunit ribosomal RNA", at positions 28 to 507 of the family's 1533-position model. The record is from RNAcentral.
GAUGAACGCUGGCGGCGUGCCUAAUACAUGCAAGUCGAGCGAACGGACGAGAAGCUUGCUUCUCUGAUGUUAGCGGCGGACGGGUGAGUAACACGUGGAUAACCUACCUAUAAGACUGGGAUAACUUCGGGAAACCGGAGCUAAUACCGGAUAAUAUUUUGAACCGCAUGGUUCAAAAGUGAAAGACGGUCUUGCUGUCACUUAUAGAUGGAUCCGCGCUGCAUUAGCUAGUUGGUAAGGUAACGGCUUACCAAGGCAACGAUGCAUAGCCGACCUGAGAGGGUGAUCGGCCACACUGGAACUGAGACACGGUCCAGACUCCACGGGAGGCAGCAGUAGGGAAUCUUCCGCAAUGGGCGAAAGCCUGACGGAGCAACGCCGCGUGAGUGAUGAAGGUCUUCGGAUCGUAAAACUCUGUUAUUAGGGAAGAACAUAUGUGUAAGUAACUGUGCACAUCUUGACGGUACCUAAUCAGAAAGCCACGGCUAACUACGUG